RNAcentral lists this ribosomal RNA (255 nucleotides) under Actinobacillus equuli subsp. equuli. Its description in RNAcentral is "partial 23S ribosomal RNA". It matches the Rfam family "Bacterial large subunit ribosomal RNA", at positions 656 to 909 of the family's 2925-position model. The record is from RNAcentral. Lineage: Bacteria; Pseudomonadati; Pseudomonadota; Gammaproteobacteria; Pasteurellales; Pasteurellaceae.
AAUAAGGGAGCCGAAGGGAAACCGAGUCUUAACUGGGCGUUUGAGUUGCAAGGUAUAGACCCGAAACCCGGUGAUCUAGCCAUGGGCAGGUUGAAGAUUGGGUAACACUAAUUGGAGGACCGAACCGGCUAAUGUUGAAAAAUUAGCGGAUGACUUGUGGCUGGGGGUGAAAGGCCAAUCAAACCGGGAGAUAGCUGGUUCUCCCCGAAAUCUAUUUAGGUAGAGCCUUGAGCGGACACCUUCGGGGGUAGAGCA